RNAcentral lists this ribosomal RNA (465 nucleotides) under uncultured bacterium. RNAcentral's name for it is "bacterial SSU rRNA". It matches the Rfam family "Bacterial small subunit ribosomal RNA", at positions 29 to 507 of the family's 1533-position model. The record is from RNAcentral.
ACGAACGCUGGCGGCGCGCCUAACACAUGCAAGUCGAACGGAGCUUAGAGAGCUUGCUUUUUAAGCUUAGUGGCGAACGGGUGAGUAACGCGUGAGUAACCUGCCCUAGAGUGGGGGACAACAGUUGGAAACGACUGCUAAUACCGCAUAAGCCCACGGUACCGCAUGGUACUGAGGGAAAAGGAUUUAUUCGCUUUAGGAUGGACUCGCGUCCAAUUAGCUAGUUGGUGAGGUAAUGGCCCACCAAGGCGACGAUUGGUAGCCGGACUGAGAGGUUGAACGGCCACAUUGGGACUGAGACACGGCCCAGACUCCUACGGGAGGCAGCAGUGGGGGAUAUUGCACAAUGGGGGAAACCCUGAUGCAGCGACGCCGCGUGGAGGAAGAAGGUUUUCGGAUUGUAAACUCCUGUCGUUAGGGACGAUAAUGACGGUACCUAACAAGAAAGCACCGGCUAACUACGUG